GCCUGUUUUACUCAGUGGUUAGAGUGUUGGCCUGCAGACCAAAGGGUUGUGGGUUCGAUUCCCAGUCAAGGGCA
Myotis lucifugus (little brown bat) is the source of this 74-nucleotide non-coding RNA. The record is from Rfam. Lineage: Eukaryota; Metazoa; Chordata; Mammalia; Chiroptera; Vespertilionidae.